RNAcentral lists this transfer RNA (68 nucleotides) under Marmota monax (woodchuck). RNAcentral's name for it is "tRNA.Ala". Lineage: Eukaryota; Metazoa; Chordata; Mammalia; Rodentia; Sciuridae. The record is from RNAcentral.
GUUUUGGCUCAAUGGUAGAGCGCUUGCCUAGCAGGUGUGAGGCCCUGGGUUCAAGCUCCAGCAUUACA